UACGUAGGCAGCAAGCGUUGUUCGGAGUUACUGGGCGUAAAGGGUGUGUGGGCGGUUAUUUAAGUUUGGUGUGAAAUCUCCCGGCUCAACCGGGAGGGUGCGCCGAAUACUGAAUGACUUGGAGUGCGGGAGAGGAAAGUGGAAUUCCUGGUGUAGCGGUGAAAUGCGUAGAUAUCAGGAGGAACACCGGUGGUGUAGACGGCUUUCUGGACCGUAACUGACGCUGAGACACGAAAGCGUGGGUAGCAAACAGG
This 254-nucleotide ribosomal RNA is filed under the name uncultured bacterium. RNAcentral describes it as "partial 16S ribosomal RNA". It matches the Rfam family "Bacterial small subunit ribosomal RNA", at positions 524 to 776 of the family's 1533-position model. The record is from RNAcentral.